Molecule: ribosomal RNA, 439 nt
Filed under: Candidatus Pelagibacterales bacterium
Lineage: Bacteria; Pseudomonadati; Pseudomonadota; Alphaproteobacteria; Candidatus Pelagibacterales
Description: bacterial SSU rRNA
Rfam family: Bacterial small subunit ribosomal RNA
Source: RNAcentral
AAACUUGAGAGUUUGAUCCUGGCUCAGAGUGAACGCUGGCGGCACGCCUAACACAUGCAAGUCGAGCGAUAAGCUAAACUUCGGUUUAGUGGACAGCGGCGGACGGGUGAGUAUCGCGUGGGAAUUUACCAUAGAGUGGGGAACAACUGCUGGAAACGGCAGCUAAUACCGCAUACGCCCUACGGGGGAAAGGCUUCGGCCGCUCUAUGAAAAGCCCGCGUACGAUUAGUUUGUUGGUGGGGUAAUGGCCUACCAAGACUACGAUCGUUAGCUGGUCUGAGAGGACGAUCAGCCACACUGGGACUGAGACACGGCCCAGACUCCUACGGGAGGCAGCAGUGGGGAAUAUUGGACAAUGGGCGAAAGCCUGAUCCAGCGAUGCCGCGUGAGUGAAGAAGGCCUUCGGGUUGUAAAGCUCUUUCGGUGGGGAAGAUAAUGA